UUGGUCUACGGGAGGCAGCAGUGGGGAAUAUUGCACAAUGGGGGAAACCCUGAUGCAGCAACGCCGCGUGAAGGCAGACGGUUUUCGGAUUGUAAACUUCUUUUCUUAGUGAAGAAGCAAGUGACGGUAGCUAAGGAAUAAGCAUCGGCUAACUACGUGCCAGCAGCCGCGGUAAUACGUAGGAUGCGAGCGUUAUCCGGAAUUACUGGGUGUAAAGGGAGCGCAGGCGGGCGUUCA
Molecule: ribosomal RNA, 237 nt
Filed under: uncultured bacterium
Lineage: Bacteria
Description: partial 16S ribosomal RNA
Rfam family: Bacterial small subunit ribosomal RNA
Source: RNAcentral